This 498-nucleotide ribosomal RNA is filed under the name uncultured bacterium. RNAcentral describes it as "partial 16S ribosomal RNA". It matches the Rfam family "Bacterial small subunit ribosomal RNA", at positions 29 to 523 of the family's 1533-position model. The record is from RNAcentral.
AACGAACGCUGGCGGCAUGCUUUACACAUGCAAGUCGAACGGUAACAGGCCGCAAGGUGCUGACGAGUGGCGAACGGGUGAGUAAUGCAUCGGAACGUGCCCAGUCGUGGGGGAUAACGCAGCGAAAGCUGUGCUAAUACCGCAUACGAUCUAUGGAUGAAAGCGGGGGACCGUAAGGCCUCGCGCGAUUGGAGCGGCCGAUGUCAGAUUAGGUAGUUGGUGGGGUAAAGGCUCACCAAGCCAACGAUCUGUAGCUGGUCUGAGAGGACGACCAGCCACACUGGGACUGAGACACGGCCCAGACUCCUACGGGAGGCAGCAGUGGGGAAUUUUGGACAAUGGGCGCAAGCCUGAUCCAGCAAUGCCGCGUGCAGGAAGAAGGCCUUCGGGUUGUAAACUGCUUUUGUACGGAACGAAAAGGUUUGGGUUAAUACCCUGGGCCGAUGACGGUACCGUAAGAAUAAGCACCGGCUAACUACGUGCCAGCAGCCGCGGUAA